AGAGUUUGAUCCUGGCUCAGAACGAACGCUGGCGGCAGGCUUAACACAUGCAAGUCGAACGCCCCGCAAGGGGAGUGGCAGACGGGUGAGUAACACGUGGGAACAUGCCCUUUGGUUCGGAACAACUCGGGGAAACUCGAGCUAAUACCGGAUAAGCCCUAUGGGGGAAAGAUUUAUCGCCGAAGGAUUGGCCCGCGUCUGAUUAGCUAGUUGGUGAGGUAAUGGCUCACCAAGGCGACGAUCAGUAGCUGGUCUGAGAGGAUGAUCAGCCACAUUGGGACUGAGACACGGCCCAAACUCCUACGGGAGGCAGCAGUGGGGAAUAUUGGACAAUGGGCGCAAGCCUGAUCCAGCCAUGCCGCGUGAGUGAUGAAGGCCUUAGGGUUGUAAAGCUCUUUUACCCGGGAAGAUAAUGACUGUACCGGGAGAAUAAGCCCCGGCUAACUUCGUGCCAGCAGCCGCGGUAAUACGAAGGGGGCUAGCGUUGUUCGGAUUUACUGGGCGUAAAGCGCACGUAGGCGGACUUUUAAGUCAGGGGUGAAAUCCCAGAGCUCAACUCUGGAACUGCCUUUGAUACUGGAAGUCUUGAGUAUGGAAGAGGUUGGUGGAACUGCGAGUGUAGAGGUGAAAUUCGUAGAUAUUCGCAAGAACACCAGUGGCGAAGGCGGCCNCUGGUCCAUUACUGACGCUGAGGUGCGAAAGCGUGGGGGAGCAAACAGGAUUAGAUACCCUAGUAGUCC
This 740-nucleotide ribosomal RNA is filed under the name uncultured bacterium. RNAcentral describes it as "bacterial SSU rRNA". It matches the Rfam family "Bacterial small subunit ribosomal RNA", at positions 8 to 796 of the family's 1533-position model. The record is from RNAcentral.